Molecule: transfer RNA, 89 nt
Filed under: Drosophila ananassae
Lineage: Eukaryota; Metazoa; Arthropoda; Insecta; Diptera; Drosophilidae
Rfam family: tRNA
About the family: Transfer RNA (tRNA) molecules are approximately 80 nucleotides in length. Their secondary structure includes four short double-helical elements and three loops (D, anti-codon, and T loops).
Source: Rfam by way of RNAcentral
CCUUCGAUAGCUCAGUUGGUAGAGCGGUGGACUGUAGAGGAUCAAGUGUAGAAAUCCAUAGGUCGCUGGUUCAAAUCCGGCUCGAAGGA